Molecule: ribosomal RNA, 515 nt
Filed under: Postia sp. BOS-2013
Lineage: Eukaryota; Fungi; Basidiomycota; Agaricomycetes; Polyporales; Postiaceae
Description: SSU rRNA
Rfam family: Bacterial small subunit ribosomal RNA
Source: RNAcentral
AUGUCGUAAGGGAAAAUAAUGAUACAACCUUACUAAUAGUGUCGUCAAAAGCUGGUGCCAGAAGACUCGGUAAGACCAGAGACGCAAACGUUAAUCAUCUUAAUCAGGCGUAAAGGGUUUGUAGGCUGCUUUGAAAAUCUUAACGGUCCUCCGGACCCCGCGCAGCGGCUUUGGAGGCCUUUCGCUUCCAAAGGAAGGCUGCGCAUGGAUCAAUUAAAGCUAGAAUCAAAUAGAGGUUAUAUUGAAUAAUACUUAGAGGAGGGAUUAAAUCCGUAGAUACUAAGGGGAAUACUUAGGGCGAAGGCAUUUUUCCACUAAUGAUUGACGCUGAGAAACGAAGGUGAGGAUAGGAAAUAGGAUUAGAUACCCCGGUACCCCUCUCAGUCAACGAUGAAUGGUAGUUCCUAGUUCUAGAACUAGAGACGAUGUUAACACGUUAACCAUUCCGCCUUGUGAGUACGAUUGCAAAGUUGAAAACAAAAAAAUUAGUCGGUCUCGGAGCAAACGAAGUGAAG